CAAAAACAGAUUAAUAAUAACUUUAUAUACCAUUCAGACACUUCCAACAGCUUUAUUUUCAGACUUAAUACCUUUGAAACAUAGACCUAUACUCGAGUGAGAAAUACCUGCACAGUCAAAUGUUCACCAAGCAUCAUUUGAUUCAAAAAAGCCUACAUAUCUCUACUAGAGCUAGCAAACCGUCACACAAGUGCUGAGAAGUUCUUCAUCCUCUCCAAUACAACUCGCUUUUAAACAAAAAGCCAUAACCAAGUAAAAAUGAGAUCAGCUGCAGAACAAAUUAAUUCCAGUGUUAAGAUCAAUAUCAGAUACACGUUCAACAAACAAAGACAAACAAAUGGACUUUCAGGAGACAAUGAGCAGUAAUGAUUGAAUUAGCAGCAUGGUAGGAACCAAACUAACCAAACCACAAAUGACAACAGAAAUUGCAAGUGGCCCUUAUGUUACUCAGGAUUGUGUUCCUGGUCACGUCUUCUACUUCAGGACUUAACUUCAGCCCUGUUUUACAGAUUGUAUAAUCACACAUCUAUAGACUGUAUAAUGUAGAAUAUCUGUAGGUUUAGUCUUUAGGACAGGUAAUACCAGUCUUCUAAUCUAUGGAGUGAUAUUUGUGACAACAGAAAUUCAAUUUGUGAAUACAUAUUCAGUUUCUGCUGGUUCUAAUAUCACUCCAUAGUCUUCGGGUUUAGGGGUUUUGGUCAGGGGAAGUCUACUGCUUGAGAAGGGUUUAGUCAGGCGUUGGGCUACUUCCCCUAGACUAGAAUCCCUUUAGACAGGCAUUACAGUGAGUGAACAUCUGGGGUGUGUCCAGUGAGGGUGGAACGCUCAACAACGUUGCAGAUAAAAAUAUAAAUGAAUGGAUCUGACACAAUUCCCAAUUCUAUCAUGACAGGUAAUCAUAUCUGUUCUACACAAUAUAUUUCUAUCUGAACAGUUGUACCCUCUAGCAGUUCCCAUGGUUUUCAUCUCCUUCACCAACAUAAACUAAGGGCCAACUGCAGUUUGGUGUGUGUGGGGUAAAAGAACAACAACGCCACAAAAACCUUCAAAGAAUUCCAAUCCAAAACACAGGAGCUGUUGGUAAAAAAAUCAUUAGACCACAGUCACGUGUCACUAUUACAACAAUAUAGACUACUCUUCUAGCUUUACUCUCAAGCCUGUCCACUGAGUUUGCAUAUGUAUAAGGGUCACUUUUUCACGACGGUCAACACUACCUACCUACUAUACACCUUAGUGUGUGUGUGUGUGUGUAAGACAUAGUGAGGAUGUUUUAGCGUACAUACACUAUAUACUAGGGCUGUGUCUGAUGGCACCCUAUUCCCUAUUUAGUGCACUGCUUUUGAUAAUGC
RNAcentral lists this long non-coding RNA (1349 nucleotides) under Salmo salar (Atlantic salmon). RNAcentral's name for it is "lncRNA (ENSSSAG00000099153.1)". Lineage: Eukaryota; Metazoa; Chordata; Actinopteri; Salmoniformes; Salmonidae. The record is from RNAcentral.